CGCAAGCCUGAUGGCAGCCAUGCCGCGUGUAUGAAGAAGGCCUUCGGGUUGUAAAGUACUUUCAGCAGUGAGGAAGGUGGGUAUGUUAAUAGCAUACUCAUUUGACGUUAGCUGCAGAAGAAGCACCGGCUAACUCCGUGCCAGCAGCCGCGGUAAUACGGAGGGUGCGAGCGUUAAUCGGAAUUACUGGGCGUAAAAGCGCAUGCAGGUGGUUUGUUAAGUCAGAUGUGAAAGCCCGGGGCUCAACCUCGGAAUUGCAUUUGAAAACUGGCAAACUAGAGUACUGUAGAGGGGGUAGGAAUUUCAGGUGUAGCGGUGAAAUGCGUAGAGAUCUGAAGGAAUACCGGUGGCGAAGGUGGCCCCCUGGACCAGAUACUGACACUCAGAUGCGAAAGCGUGGGGAGCAAACAGGAUUAGAUACCCUGGUAG
Molecule: ribosomal RNA, 429 nt
Filed under: uncultured bacterium
Lineage: Bacteria
Description: bacterial SSU rRNA
Rfam family: Bacterial small subunit ribosomal RNA
Source: RNAcentral